GUAAGGAAUAUUGGUCAAUGGACGAAAGUCUGAACCAGCCAUGCCGCGUGGAGGAUGAAGGUCCUCUGGAUUGUAAACUUCUUUUAUAUGGGACGAAAAAAGGCUUUUCUACGUCGUCUGACGGUACCAUAUGAAUAAGCACCGGCUAACUCCGUGCCAGCAGCCGCGGUACUACGGAGGGUGCAAGCGUUAUCCGGAUUCACUGGGUUUAAAGGGUGCGUAGGUGGAUUGCCAAGUCCGUGGUGAAAUCUUCGAGCUUAACUCGGAAACUGCCAUGGAUACUGGUGAUAUUGAAGAUCGUGGAGGUUAGCGGAAUAUGUCAUGGAGCGGUGAAAUGCUUAGAUAUGACAUAGAACACCAAUUGCGAAGGCAGCUGGCUACGCGAAUAUUGACACUCAGGCACGAAAGCGUGGGGAUCAAACAGGAUUAGAUACCCUGGUAGUCC
This 445-nucleotide ribosomal RNA is filed under the name uncultured bacterium. RNAcentral describes it as "partial 16S ribosomal RNA". It matches the Rfam family "Bacterial small subunit ribosomal RNA", at positions 354 to 796 of the family's 1533-position model. The record is from RNAcentral.